This 492-nucleotide ribosomal RNA is filed under the name uncultured bacterium. Its description in RNAcentral is "partial 16S ribosomal RNA". It matches the Rfam family "Bacterial small subunit ribosomal RNA", at positions 29 to 507 of the family's 1533-position model. The record is from RNAcentral.
AGUGAACGCUGGCGGUAGGCCUAACACAUGCAAGUCGAACGGCAGCACAGUAAGAGCUUGCUCUUACGGGUGGCGAGUGGCGGACGGGUGAGGAAUACAUCGGAAUCUACUUUUUCGUGGGGGGUAACGUAGGGAAACUUACGCUAAUACCGCAUACGACCUACGGGUGAAAGCAGGGGAUCUUCGGACCUUGCGCGAUUGAAUGAGCCGAUGUCGGAUUAGCUAGUUGGCGGGGUAAAGGCCCACCAAGGCGACGAUGCGUAGCUGGUCUGAGAGGAUGAUCAGCCACACUGGAACUGAGACACGGUCCAGACUCCUACGGGAGGCAGCAGUGGGGAAUAUUGGACAAUGGGCGCAAGCCUGAUCCAGCCAUACCGCGUGGGUGAAGAAGGCCUUCGGGUUGUAAAGCCCUUUUGUUGGGAAAGAAAAGCAGCAGGUUAAUACCCCGCUGUUCUGACGGUACCCAAAGAAUAAGCACCGGCUAACUUCGUG